RNAcentral lists this ribosomal RNA (450 nucleotides) under uncultured Glomeromycotina. RNAcentral describes it as "SSU rRNA". It matches the Rfam family "Eukaryotic small subunit ribosomal RNA", at positions 569 to 1025 of the family's 1831-position model. Lineage: Eukaryota; Fungi; Glomeromycota. The record is from RNAcentral.
AGCAGCCGCGGUAAUUCCAGCUCCAAUAGCGUAUAUUAAAGUUGUUGCAGUUAAAAAGCUCGUAGUUGAAUUUCGGGAUCAAUACGUCGGUCGUGCUUCGGUACGUACUGGCGUAAUUGAUUUCUCCCUUCUGACGAACCAUGAUGUCAUUAACUUGGUGUCAUGGGAAAUCAGGACUGUUACUUUGAAAAAUUAGAGUGUUUAAAGCAAGCUAACGCUUGAAUACAUUAGCAUGGAAUAAUGAAAUAGGACGUUCGAUCCUAUUUUGUUGGUUUCUAGGAUUGACGUAAUGAUUAAUAGGGAUAGUUGGGGGCAUUAGUAUUCAAUUGUCAGAGGUGAAAUUCUUGGAUUUAUUGAAGACUAACUACUGCGAAAGCAUUUGCCAAGGAUGUUUUCAUUAAUCAAGAACGAAAGUUAGGGGAUCGAAGACGAUCAGAUACCGUCGUAGUC